RNAcentral lists this ribosomal RNA (116 nucleotides) under Salinivibrio siamensis. The record is from RNAcentral. Lineage: Bacteria; Pseudomonadati; Pseudomonadota; Gammaproteobacteria; Vibrionales; Vibrionaceae.
CUUGGCGACCAUAGCGCUUUGGACCCACCUGACUCCAUGCCGAACUCAGUAGUGAAACGAAGCAGCGCCGAUGGURGUGUGGGGUCUCCCCAUGUGAGAGUAGGACAUCGCCAGGC